UGCUGACUUCACAGGAAGAGUUACCAGAGACAUGAAUGUCACUGCCAAGGACACCUGCAAUCCUAUACACUCAGACUCCUCACUCAGUCUCUCGAGAGCCCUGAUCAGAGCCUCCAUUGACUCUGCUAAGAUGACAAAGUCAAGAUCAGUAAAUCUUUCUUCACCAAUGGACGCCCCACAGCUGUUGGAUCCCAUGACCCUGCCCAGCACCCAGUCCAUACAAGCAUUAUACAGAGUAGGAGCAAGAACAUACCCCUAGUGAACCCCAGAAUCAAAUGGAAAGAAUGCAGAGGUUCUCCCUCCACUCUGCACAGCACUCACAGUACCAGUGUAUAGACCGGCCAUGAUGUCCAGCAACUUCGAGGGGAUCCUGCGAAGUCUCAGGAUGUCUCGCAGGGCAUCAACUGAGUGGAAUACUUUUCAAAAAUUGACAAAAGCUGCAAAGAACCUCUGCCAAUAUUCGCACUUGCGCUCAAUGAAAACCCUCAGUGCAAGAUUACGGUCGAUGGUAGACUUCUUAGGCGUAAAACCAGACUGCUCUGGUUGCUGACAGAUAAGCAAGUGAUCACAGAUCCUGUUAAGGAUGACCUUAACACUGAAAGCAGUGUUAUCCCCCUGUAGUUGCUGCAGUCCAAGCGAUCACCCUUCCCUUUCCAGAUAGGGACUACAAGUCCCAUUUUCCAGUCAAUUGGGAUGGUGACUGACUCCAAAAUGGAAUCAAAGAUUGCCUGCAAUGCCAUGAGGACAGCCGUACCACCAGCCUGGAGAAGUUCACCCUGGAUACCACAGAUCCCUGUCGCCUUCGCUAUCCUCAGCUGAUUCACCACCUGUGCAAUCUCAGUGAGAUUAUGUGGUUCACAACUGAUUGAAGGGUCAGCUUUGAGAACCGUGGUCCCAGAGAUGUCCAACAUACAAGCUAGAGGGCCAGCUUUAACUCUUUCACUGUCGCCGCCUAGUGGUUCGGACGCAUACGUCCAAAUUUUAAAUAACAAAAAAAAAUGACGUUCAAUAAAAGAAACAAAUGUAUCAAAUCAACCAAAAACGGCUUGUUACACUACAAAAAACCUUUCAGAUAAUAUCUGUAUAAAGUUGCGCAAUUUUUGUGCCAUGGUUUUUUUGUAACAAGUAAAAAUAAAAUGACCAUGGUAGCCAUCUUUAAACGGGUCGAGUGUCAGGAAGUAAAAUAUAAGUGUUAAUAAAAUGAAAACUAAGCACUUCAAACUAUUUCUUUCAUGGCCAAUACUUCAUAAAUAGUCACAGUAUUAAGACAAAACACGCAUUUUUCCAUAAAUAUGACUGUAAUGUUCUCAAAUAGCUUGCUCACUCAUCGCGGAAAAAUGUCAGUCGGCAUUCUGUACAUUCGUGCAAUGUUUUUUAUCUUCGGAGUUUUAGAAGAAAACGAAUGAAUAAAAUGACAAAGUUACCCUCGUUUGAAAGCUUGAUCUCUUAUGUACAUAAAUCAAUCACUGUAAUCCUUCAUUGUCAAGUAUUUUUUCAGAUAUAUGCUCUGCUUCCCUGCUAGCACAUUAUUUUUUACGCACUGAACCUUUGCCCAUGGUUAUGUUUCACCAUAAUAAACUUUUUACAUGAACAUCAAA
Molecule: non-coding RNA, 1598 nt
Organism: Paramormyrops kingsleyae
Lineage: Eukaryota; Metazoa; Chordata; Actinopteri; Osteoglossiformes; Mormyridae
Source: RefSeq, a predicted model, not a curated record